Molecule: ribosomal RNA, 253 nt
Filed under: uncultured bacterium
Lineage: Bacteria
Description: partial 16S ribosomal RNA
Rfam family: Bacterial small subunit ribosomal RNA
Source: RNAcentral
UACGUAGGGUGCAAGCGUUAAUCGGAAUUACUGGGCGUAAAGCGUGCGCAGGCGGUUUUGUAAGACAGAUGUGAAAUGCCCGGGCUUAACCUGGGAACUGCAUUUGUGACUGCAAGGCUAGAAUCUGGCAGAGGGGGGUAGAAUUCCACGUGUAGCAGUGAAAUGCGUAGAUAUGUGGAGGAAUACCGAUGGCGAAGGCAGCUCGCUGGGACGGUACUGACGCUGAGACGCGAAAGCGUGGGGAGCGAACAGG